GAGACUAUUGCCAUAUUAUCAUUUUUCUUUUACAAGAAAUGAAUUUGAAUGAUUAAUCUUACUAUUACUGACACAAUUUUCCUCGUAAGUUAUGGUUUUAGACAAUUAAUCUUUGCUAUUUUAGCUUAAAGCUUUGUUUAAAAAAUUAAUCUUACCUCAUUGCUUGCGCAGUUUUUCAAGGGCACAUGCAUGAAUGAAUUAAUGAAGGGAAUUUUGGUGAUAACAAAACUUGCCCAUGACAAGCUAAGUUUUACAAAAUAUGGAACUUGGAAUCUCCAAAAUAAGCUCAAAUGAAAAUAAUUGUUUCCCUUGUAAGUUAAGAUUCAUGCACGUAUAUAUACCACAGAAAGAUAUAUGCCAAAUAUGAACAGUGAUAUAGAAUUUUUAUACUUUGCCUUGCUCGAUUGCUCGUCGGUUUGAGAAAGACGACGAAAGAAAGUAAGGGAAAGUCUACUAUGCCCCUUUAAACUUUGCUAUCAUGAAUUUUCUUUUCGUCAAUGUUUAAUUUUUUUUUUCUCUCUUUUGGCAAAUCCAUCAAGGGAAAAUUUAUGUCUUGAGGCUAUCACCAAAAAACAAAUGAUGUGAGCUAAGAAGGAAAGAAAGAGGAUUGUGAUGAUAUAUAUGUAUCUUGUAAUGUUGCUUUUGUUGAUUAUCUUUGUUGCUGGCAAAGGUUGGCAAUAAAAUGUGAUUUUGAAACUAACUGUUUCAAAAUCAUUUUCCAAUUACUUUUUUGGCCACAAUCGAUAUUUUUGAAAACGAUAUUUCUUUUGUUUGAUUCUUGGAAAAUUGAAAAUGAGAAUUUAAUAUAUAUAUGAUAAUGAUAAUAAUGAUGGCGAUGAUGAUCAGGCUAAUUAUAUAUUUCUAGUAAAAGUUUUUUAUAUUUGAAUAUAAAUUAAAAGGUCUAAAUUCCAGGAAGAAAGACAAAAUUAAUAACAAUGUGUAUAGAUAGGGGUGUUCAUUCAGUUGAUUUGGUUAUUUUCGAAUCGAAUUAUCUAAAAUCAAAUUAAUCAAAUUAUAUUAUUUUAUUUUUAUUAAUCGAACGUAAUUUGUGAAUUGAUCGAAUUUAAUUUGAUAAAUUUGAUUAAUUUUUUUGAUUAAUUGAAUAAUAACUAUAUUUAAAUUAAAUUAUAUUUUAAAUUCUUAAUUUUUUAAUUUUAAACAAACUAAAUAAAAUAUUCAAAUACUAAAGUAUUAUGUUAAAAAUUAUAACAAGUUAUAAAAUUAAAUUAUCUAUUUCAUAUAUUUUUUCUUUUUUAUUUUGAUUAUGUUAUAUUUUGAUUAAUUCGGUUUUCGAAUCGAAUUAACCAAAAAUUAAAAUUUUUUUAAAAUCAUUUUCCUUAAUCAAUUGAAAUUAAUUUGAUAAUCGAUCGAUUAACCGAAAUAAAUUAAUUUGAUCGGUUAAUUUAGUUAAAAUCGAAUUAUGAACAUCCCUAUGUAUAGAUAAUAACUAUAUUAUUCAAAUCAAUAUAUUUUUGAAAGAUAAUUGUUCUUAUGAUUAUCAUAAAGCACGACGGCGUUCAAAUUAAGAAAAAGAGAAUUUAUAUCAAAAUAUUAAUAGCAACAAAAUAAAGCUAAAUAUUGCUAUUUAUGAGAAUUGUAAAGAUCAAUCAAAAUAUUAUUUACCAUAUUUAUAAGUUUAGAUCAUUUUAAAAUUUUAUUAAUAAAAUCAUAAGUGAUAUGCUAUCGUGAUAAUUCAUACUCUGUACCAAAAAAUGUUGCAUGCUUAAUUAAGUCUAAAUCAAGUAGGAGAAAUUGUAUUUACUAAAAUUAGAAAAAAUUUCAAUAAUUUUUCGGUUUGCUGUCUUAGAAGGAAAUCAACAAGUUUUAGGAAAACUCCUGCUUUUUUUUUUUUUUUAUUAAGUUUAGAAAAAGCUUUUAAAUAAAAAUUAAAUAAUUAUCUAAACUUCUAUAAUUUUAUUGUUAUAAAUUGAGCGCUUAAAUAUUUAUUGUUAUUCAAUUAAGUCUUUAAACAUUUAUUUUCACCCAAUUGAAUUUUUAAAUAUUUAUUUUCACCCAAUUUAACAUUUGUUAGGUAAAAAUGAGAGCUUGCAAUUAAGUACAAAACGUACAUGAAGUCCUUUAGAUAAAGUUUGUGAAUUUUUUUUUAAAAAAUAAUUUACUAAAAACUUUAAUAAAAUAUUCAAACGGGU
This 2150-nucleotide long non-coding RNA is filed under the name Durio zibethinus. RNAcentral's name for it is "long non-coding RNA (DZIB_LNC002145)". Lineage: Eukaryota; Viridiplantae; Streptophyta; Magnoliopsida; Malvales; Malvaceae. The record is from RNAcentral.